RNAcentral lists this ribosomal RNA (431 nucleotides) under Staphylococcus aureus. RNAcentral describes it as "bacterial SSU rRNA". It matches the Rfam family "Bacterial small subunit ribosomal RNA", at positions 365 to 788 of the family's 1533-position model. Lineage: Bacteria; Bacillati; Bacillota; Bacilli; Caryophanales; Staphylococcaceae. The record is from RNAcentral.
ACCGCAAUGGGCGAAAGCCUGACGGAGCAACGCCGCGUGAGUGAUGAAGGUCUUCGGAUCGUAAAACUCUGUUAUUAGGGAAGAACAUAUGUGUAAGUAACUGUGCACAUCUUGACGGUACCUAAUCAGAAAGCCACGGCUAACUACGUGCCAGCAGCCGCGGUAAUACGUAGGUGGCAAGCGUUAUCCGGAAUUAUUGGGCGUAAAGCGCGCGUAGGCGGUUUUUUAAGUCUGAUGUGAAAGCCCACGGCUCAACCGUGGAGGGUCAUUGGAAACUGGAAAACUUGAGUGCAGAAGAGGAAAGUGGAAUUCCAUGUGUAGCGGUGAAAUGCGCAGAGAUAUGGAGGAACACCAGUGGCGAAGGCGACUUUCUGGUCUGUAACUGACGCUGAUGUGCGAAAGCGUGGGGAUCAAACAGGAUUAGAUACCCC